UUUUUAACCAAAAUCAGCUCUCACAUAUAUCAUAGAAUUCAGACAGUGCAGAUCCAAGACAUUUUUCCAUUAGGAAUAACAAUCUGUCCUCAUAUGUUCAUCAUUGUCAACUUUUCUGAGGUAUAACAAUCUCAUUUGCACAUGAAAAUGAUAUAAUAAAAUCUUCCCAUUGAUGGGCACACUUUUGCUUGUGCAGGCAAGAAAAGGCCAUGGGACUGAUACUGCAAAAGCUUGGAUAUAUCAUGCUUGUGCUUUGCUCUUUUUCCCGUCCAAAACAAAGCAAAACAAAAUCACUCAACAAGAAGGCACUAUCUUUCCCCUGAUCUUCAGCGAUAAAUAAAUUCUUGUAUUGUUGGGUUAGUGGAAGAAAUAUGGUACAGGAGUAGGGACAAGAUCAUUCUUGUUGCAGAAUUUCAUGCCUCUGGUGUACAGAAGUUGGAUUAUAAAACCACCUGCAAAAGUACUACUUGCAUAUAUACAAGCAUAAAGACUACAGAAUAAUUACUAAAGGAAAUAGGAGGUUGAGCAAUUUUCCGCCCCAUCCUUUCCAGGACCCAUAAGGAAGCAAAUUGAAUGUAGUCCAAAUCUUAAUCAAUUUCUAUAUUAAAUUCAUUUGGCAUGAUGUGCCUGAUAGAUAAUAUCCUCACAAAUUCAAAUGUACCGGGGUUGUUUUUGUUGUUAAACAAAAAGGACAACUAUCAACCUCAUGUUCCUGACAGGGUUAGCAAGAAGGGCCUGUCCUUAUCUCAAUUUCUUUAAUAAAGACUAGCCAAAUACAAUUUAAAGGCUUCAAUUCUUGUCAGUUGGCUGCCUUAUUAACCACCUUUUGCACAAUCAAGGCGGUAAGACAGUAGUCCCCACUGCACCACAGCUGGGUUUCUUUCCCCUGUAUCUAUAGGGUGUACUCUUUUUCUCCCUUGCAGAUUUAGCCUUAUUUCUUGCAAAAGAAAAAGGUUGCUUGCCAUUUCUUUCAGCAGUCGCAGCUUCGAACAUGAAUCAAAAAUCAACAGCUUCACAUUAUGAUAUUAUAACAUUACAACAGCUUCACAUUUGUUUCAUUGACGAAGAAAAACAUACUCGUACUGGAAUGCAGAUUCCAGAUGCAUUGUUCUAGCAGAAAAUAUCAACAAGGAUCCAGAUGAAAUACGUACAUAUAUAUAAACCAAAGCAAAAUUCACUGGUAAGAUACAAAAACUACUUUCACACUUUGAAGGUAAAACACUAAUGAAUAGUACCAAAGCAUGAACAUAAUCAUAGAAAACUCGACCAAAAAAUCACGAUGUAACCAGAGAUUUUGAAUUAAUCGCUCACAUCUUGCAACAAAGCGAGAAAGCCAUCUUUUCCAUCUACGGUAGUAAACGUUGAGAAAAAUGCAAACCAUUUUGAUGAAUGGUUUUUGUGGCCUUAACAGAAAGACUUUGAGAACUGAAUCACCAGCAGAAUGAUUGUAACAAACCACCAAGACACAUUCCAUCAUCAAUCUCAGAAAAAGAAGUGAUACAAUUAGCAAAAAGCUAAAUAAAACUCCACAGCGUAGAUUCCCUUUCCCUCAAUCAAACACGUAACCCCAAAUUAGACACGUCUCCAUUUCCAUGCAAAAGAUAUGCUUCCUUCUCUAAUCUCUCUCUUUGCAUUCUAUUUAGUUUCUCCUGUUACAUGUAUAUUUUUAGCUAUGGACUGGGUUCCACUAACUAAGCCUAGCAAUAUAAAAUACUUACUGUCAACAGCAAACAAGGCCUCCUUUUUUUUGAGAAUUUUUUUUUUCUCAUUUUUCUUGAACGUUUGUUCUACUCUAUUAUAACUUAAAUGCAAAUACAAAAUGAGCGAUACACUUUGUGCUGAUAUCUAGAAUGGUGUAAAACAUUAAAAAAUAAUAGUUUUAACCUCCAAUGGAAAUGACACACAAUUAAUUUAAAGGAAAUACCUUGUCUGUAUCUACUAAUAGAUAACUUCUAACCAAAAAUGGUUGACAUUAUGUUUAGCUAGUAAUGGUAUAAUUAAAGAGGAAUACACAUCUAAAAGAAUUACUUUUAACCUCUUCUUGAAAUGGCAUAACAACAAUUAAAGGUAAACACCUUUUGUAGCUAGUAAUAAACAAUACUCUCACCAAAAAUGGUUGACCUCUUUAUUUAGCCAGUAAUUACACCAUUCUGCUGCAAUUGAAUAUGAACUGGAAAUAAGAACUUAAAUAAAAUAAAUCCAUAGAUCAGUUGAACAACCAAAACGAUGUGAAAAAUGAAAGAGUCAAGUCAAUCAUCAGGAUACAAGUUACAUCCCAAUUAUAUUAUGCAGAAGCAACUUUGGCCUCAACAAAGAAAGUAAUUUUUUUAUGCUGUGAUUGGUUUCUCUUCAAUACUUAAACAAAGCAUUUAAUCCAAGGCACUCAACUUCUCCAACUCCACCUCUAAUUGAAGAGUUGGACAAUAAUAAGAACCAGUGCAUAAAGAAUGCAUUUUUUUCUUUGCUAAAACAUAUACCUAUUUAAAACCAGAGAACAAAACACACAUGGGUAAAAGGAGUUCAAGAGAAGUCCAACCAGUAUGCUUCUAAUUUAAGAGACUUCAAAAGAGAAUACCUUAUGCAAAAGCCAUUUGGCAGUUAUGUUAAUAACUGGCAGUCCUCCACAAAACCACCAGCAAAAUUUUGAUAGCAUUUUUCAAUAAGUGAAUUUCAACUUCCCAUCAGGUAACAUAUAAUUUCAUCCUUUUUAUAUCCUUCUCAUAUUUUGAGUUAUGGUUAUUAGAUUAUAGCAGUAACUAGCAAUUGACAUAAUCAUAUUACAGGAAAAAUUUGGAUCUAGAAACAAGCUGGUUGAUUAACAAUUUCUUUUUUCAAAUAUAAGAAACAUUUUUUCAAUGGAAUUUCCAGAAAUAAUGGCAAACCAAUUGCACUGGCAUGAGAAGCAUUACCGUUAUUUGAAGCAAAAUUAUGCAAUAAAAUGAUUACAACAGCUCAGCUCAGCCUUUGGAGUGGCUAUAUGGAUUAACGAUUUUGGGUUAAAUCUAUGAAAAAAUAUCAGUCUCAGUAAUUUACCAAUGUGGAUAAUUGAAACUGAAGGAUCUUGACCUUCUGAUUCUGUUGUAUACUUCAUCCAGUUAAGGACCAAAACAACAAUAGACAGACCCUUUCAAUGGAAAAGUCCAUCCCAUAGAAGAAAGAAACUCCAAGUUCAGACUUGAAUGAUUAAACUGUCAGAAAUGGAUAAGGGCAAAACAAUCUGUCAAUAAAAGAAAAUAACAAAUACAAUGUAUCAAGAAUCCACUCCGGUACAAAUGCAUAACAUACUAAUCGUAAUUUUUGUAGAAUUGCAAGUUAGGACUCCAAAAAUUCAAACAAAAACUCAGAGCUAGAUGUUGUUCGCUACAUGGAUUCCUUCCCGCAUUCAAUUCUCAAUACAAUCUGGAAAAGGAAAAAAAAUUAUAAUCGGAGACGCAUUAUCGUUGAUAACGACGAAGCAGUGAUUUAGUAC
This 3469-nucleotide unclassified non-coding RNA is filed under the name Hevea brasiliensis (rubber tree). The record is from RNAcentral. Lineage: Eukaryota; Viridiplantae; Streptophyta; Magnoliopsida; Malpighiales; Euphorbiaceae.